GCCCACGUAGUAUAGCUUGGAUAGUACGUACGGUUGCGGUCCGUAAAACCGGAGUUCAAAUCUUCGCGUGGGCG
RNAcentral lists this transfer RNA (74 nucleotides) under Candidatus Woesearchaeota archaeon CG10_big_fil_rev_8_21_14_0_10_34_8. Its description in RNAcentral is "tRNA-Arg". It matches the Rfam family "tRNA". Rfam says of the family: Transfer RNA (tRNA) molecules are approximately 80 nucleotides in length. Their secondary structure includes four short double-helical elements and three loops (D, anti-codon, and T loops). Lineage: Archaea; Nanobdellati; Candidatus Woesearchaeota. The record is from RNAcentral.